Non-coding RNA from Xylariales sp. AK1849, 92 nucleotides. Lineage: Eukaryota; Fungi; Ascomycota; Sordariomycetes; Xylariales. The record is from the annotation of a GenBank genome assembly.
GACGAAGUGCCGGAGUGGUUAUCGGGUAUGCCUUGAAUUUUCUUCACAGCAUAUGACUUCUGGUCGCGCAAGUUCGAAUUUUGUCUUCGUCG